RNAcentral lists this ribosomal RNA (498 nucleotides) under uncultured bacterium. RNAcentral describes it as "partial 16S ribosomal RNA". It matches the Rfam family "Bacterial small subunit ribosomal RNA", at positions 29 to 507 of the family's 1533-position model. The record is from RNAcentral.
ACGAACGCUGGCGGCGUGCUUAACACAUGCCAGUCGAACGGGCCCGCUCUCUUUUUUGGGGGUGGGUUGAGUGGCGAACGGGUGAGUAUCACGUGAGUAACCUGCCCCCUGCUCCUGGAUAACUGCUUGAAAGGGCGGCUAAUACGGGGUGUGCCGGCUGGUCCGCAUGGGCCUGGUCGGGAUAGUUUCAUCUUCGGGUGUUUCGGUGGGGGAUGGGCUCGCGGCCUAUCAGCUUGUUGGUGGGGUGAUGGCCCACCAAGGCGGUGACGGGUAGCCGGCCUGAGAGGGUGGGCGGCCACACUGGGACUGAGACACGGCCCAGACUCCUGCGGGAGGCAGCAGUGGGGGGUAUUGCACAAUGGACGGAAGCCUGAUGCAGCGACGUCGCGUGAGGGAUGGAGGCCUUCGGGUUGUGAACCUCUUUCUCCGGUGGUGAAGGCCCUGUCCGUUGCGGCGGGGUUGACGGUAGCCGGGUAUGAAGCGCCGGCUAACUACGUG